This 734-nucleotide ribosomal RNA is filed under the name Campiglossa pygmaea. RNAcentral's name for it is "partial 28S ribosomal RNA". It matches the Rfam family "Eukaryotic large subunit ribosomal RNA", at positions 688 to 1340 of the family's 3401-position model. Lineage: Eukaryota; Metazoa; Arthropoda; Insecta; Diptera; Tephritidae. The record is from RNAcentral.
CAGUCAUUGGGUUAUAUAUAUAAACCUAAUGGCGUAAUUAACUUAACUUUAUUUAAAUGGGACUAAWUUUWKWSUMUWUKUUUWAAWWRKYYUAUUAAUUCAAUCCCGGGGCGUUCUAUAUAGUUAUGUAUAAUAAUAAUUUAUUAUUAUUUAUACCUCUAACUGGAGCGUACCUUGAGCAUAUAUGCUGUGACCCGAAAGAUGGUGAACUAUACUUGAUCAGGUUGAAGUCAGGGGAAACCCUGAUGGAAGACCGAAACAGUUCUGACGUGCAAAUCGAUUGUCAGAAUUGAGUAUAGGGGCGAAAGACCAAUCGAACCAUCUAGUAGCUGGUUCCCUCCGAAGUUUCCCUCAGGAUAGCUGGUGCAUUUUAAUAUUAUAUUAAAUAAUCUUAUCUGGUAAAGCGAAUGAUUAGAGUCCUUAGGGUCGAAACGACCUUAACCUAUUCUCAAACUUUAAAUGGGUAAGAACCUCACCUUUCUUGAUAUGAAGGUUGAGGUUAUGAUAUAAUGUGCCCAGUGGGCCACUUUUGGUAAGCAGAACUGGCGCUGUGGGAUGAACCAAACGUAAUGUUACGGUGCCUAAAUUAACAACUCAUGCAGAUACCAUGAAAGGCGUUGGUUGCUUAAAACAGCAGGACGGUGGACAUGGAAGUCGUAAUCCGCUAAGGAGUGUGUAACAACUCACCUGCCGAAGCAACUAGCCCUUAAAAUGGAUGGCGCUUAAGUUGUAUA